AACGUGUUUUUCUGCAAAAAAACUCUUAUUAUGGACAGUCAUGUCUGCAUUUAUAGUGUUUGGGAGAUACGUUAAAGCUAGUGUGAGGCAAACGGGAGCAGAAUGUUGAAUAUAUACGGUUAUAAAGAUUGUACUUUCGCGUACUUAAGUCCAAAACAUCAGAUCAUGCGCGUAACUUAAGAAACGUGAGAGCAGCAUCAAAACACCGCGCUGUCAAAAUUAUGUAAACACUGUAAUGUCCUAUUGUUUAACUGCUCUUAGACAUGUUUACUUUUUGAACCCACCGCCUUUCUUUACACCUUUAUUGACACUCGUGUAAACUAGGCCCCAAGCAUGACUUCGUGUCAGCUUGUUUGGUUUAUUAACAGCACCUCACUGUGUCUCGCGACUGUGAUUGUAAGAGAAGUAUGUUUGAAUGACGUUAUUGUGGCCGUUUGUCACAACGUUACUCCCAUUCUUUGUAAGAAAGUUGCGCAAGACGUGAGACAAUUACGAUUAAGGCCUUGUGAUUUCACCGCGAGGUUGCGGUUGCCAUGGAAACGGCGGGGAAUUCUGUGCAGAAAGAUGGUUUUUGUGACAGCUGGCCGGUUGAUCGGGGAUGCUGUUGUGUUCAGGGUUGUUGACUUGGAAGAUGUUAACAAGUGGUGUGGAAUGUGAGGGAUAAUCUACGGCUUUAUCUGAGAAAGGCUAGCCUUAAGUUGUAGGUCAGCGUCAUCAGACAUUCAUCUGUCACUCACAGGUCACAUGGUCAACAAGAUAGAAGAUGCAGCUGAAACCAAGCAUGUGACUGAAUAUUCAAGGUCUGGAGAGAGUUUUGAAAUCAGACCCAUAUUAGUAAAUAUCUUGCUCUUAGUUUAUUGAUGUGAAUGCAACUUUUAUGUCUCAAUUAGAUUUUGUGUUCUUUAAAUAUUUUUAGGCCAUUUAGAAUUGCUGCUACAUACAAUGUAGGUUCAUAAAUGUCAGCAUUUGUUAUUUGAUUGUAUCUUUUAUUGGGCGAUCAAUAGCUCAAUCGGAUGUGAGUUUAAUUCCCAAUCCCAUUGAACAUAUACUAAUGGCAUAACACUGUCCCUUUGGAUAAAUGUAAUUUAAUCAACCUUAUCAUUCAUGCCCGACCGAGACAUUACAUUUAAUGCAAUUUGCAACACUUGUUUCACAGGGUUUGUUUGUCUACUGGGUAUGCUUGUUUUUCCAAACAGUUUGAUGUAAAUGUAAUGUCAGCCUGCUUCUGAUGGGUCUUAAAAGGCCUGAAAGCAUAGAGAGAUGUAAAGUAUCGAUUGGGCAAAGAAAGUAAGUAUUGAACAAAAAGCCUGCUGCAAGGAUAUGACUAAUUACCCGGUCUGAUCAGCUUAUAUUGGCUUUGUGUCAAAUGUUGGUGAGGCUAUUUUGAUAGUUCUGUGGCUUCUCCCUAUUCACAUAGUGGUUUUGUAUCGAUUGCAUUUUUCUGUUUACAGUUAAAGGAAUCGUUUCACGCUGUGCGUGAAAAUAUGAACGAGCCUGUUAAAGGAGAGGGAGUAAUGUGUUGGUGUGAGAAAGACUGCGAGUCGAAACUGUGGAGAGAAGUCUAAUGCAUCGUAGUGUCCCUGAUCAAGUUGCUCUUCUGGAAGCAUUUUUAGAUGGAUUUUUGCUUGCACUUUUAGAAAGAUGGCUGUGUAAAUUAAUCUCUCACACAACACUCGUUGUGUGUGAGUUUAUGUGCUUUCCUGGCCUCCUUUAGAGACACAUUUCUUUCUCAUGCAGGAAGUUUGGCUUUUCUCUGCUUGAGUUUGUUCCAAAGGCCAGGUCAGUCUAAACAGCUCUCGCUUUCUACAGGACUGAAUGGAAGUUGACGCCAGUCCAGACAGUAGAAUGCAGCAGAUUGAGCAAAAAGGAGAUGUUAAAACUAAACAUCAACAACUAAAUCUGUUUACUUUUGA
Molecule: long non-coding RNA, 1913 nt
Organism: Triplophysa dalaica
Lineage: Eukaryota; Metazoa; Chordata; Actinopteri; Cypriniformes; Nemacheilidae
Exons: 2
Source: RefSeq, a predicted model, not a curated record